GGUGCUGCUCCAGCAACCGGACGCGGCGGUGGGGCAGGAGCUGCAAGUGCAGCAGCCCCUCUGGCCAAGGGCGGCCAGUUGGCUGCCCAGCUUCAGCCAUUUAAAUAAGUACUUUGAGAAGCUCUUCGGUAGCAGAGCGGCCCCAUGACCUCUGCAAAGACGUGUUCCCCAGCAUGAAGUCUAAGAAAUCUAAAGACGCGAAAAAGCCCGAUACACCACCAGCGAAUGCUACGAAACCCCUUCAAGCAAACGCCAUGAAACCUCUGUCUGAGAAUGCCAUGAAACUACCCCAACAGAACAGCACGAAUCCUGCACCCCGGAACCGCAUGAAACCCUGACCACCAGCCUCCUCCCAGGGCCCCAGGUAGGAGAGCCUGGGCUCAGCUGGCACCACUCAGGAGCCUCGGAACUGGGGUCAGGUCGGAACUGGGGGCAAGUUGAACAGGAGGGGAAGGAAGCCCUGGAGGGUAAGGGGACUCCAGGGUCCCGGGGACUUCUUCUCCAGGCUGGGCUUUGACUUCUGGAAGCCCAGCGUAAGAAUCCCCCAGAAUAUAAACCAACCCCCUUUAUGUUCUGAGAAGGGCCCUAACUCCUGCCUACUCCACCCCCAGUGGGACCAAUAAAGAGAAUCACUGUU
Long non-coding RNA from Phacochoerus africanus (Common warthog), 637 nucleotides. RefSeq lists it as uncharacterized. The record is from RefSeq and is a predicted model, not a curated record. NCBI's taxonomy places the organism in Eukaryota, Metazoa, Chordata, Mammalia, Artiodactyla, Suidae. The transcript has 2 exons.